AGUCACAAAGCCAAAGUCUCUUUCCAGACUGCGUAUCAGUAAUUAUCUCAAAUUUUCCUGUAUUUCUCAAAGUAAUCUCUAAGUUGAUGUUCCUCAGUAUCUUCCUUAAUUCCACCAACAACAGCUUCUUCACAGUUACACGAGCCUCCUGGUUUUCCAGGUUCUUCUCUUGCUGCAGUGCGUUUUGGCUCAACCACUCUUCCAUCAGUUGAAGGAGGUCCCACAGCCAUCGCAGCAUCAACCUCAGCCAUGGAUAAAAAAGACUUAGUCGCAUCAGCCCGAUUUCUGGGAGCCAAGCAAGGUGAGAGAGAUCUCCAUGGACAAAGGCAAGCCCAGACUCGUCCAGGCCCUGUUGUGUGAACAGUGCAGCUGCUCAAGAAGCAAUGCCGGGAGCGCAGCUACUCCCUCAGUUUUUAAUCUUCCUCUUACUUCACCUCUUAGCAGCAUAUAACAAUGUUUAUCACCCCCUGCUUUUUGAAACAAUCUUCCAUUAAUUUUCAUGACCGAACAAGCUCCUGAUUUUCAACAGCUCUGGUCAUAUUCUUUCAAGUUUAUUCAUCAUUUUCCGGGCCUUUAAAUGUAGGCAUUUCUUUAAAGCUCAGUCCUGGAACUUCACAUCUCCUCAGUCUUCACUCUCUCCUUUCAUUAAGACUCAUUGCUUAAUUUAGCAUAUAUGUGAAACAUUUUCACAUUAAUAUUUCUUGUCCUGACCUCUCCGAGUUUCAAAUCCGUAUAUCCAUUUACCUACUUUUAUUAUUUUUUUCUAUGUCUUAAAAAUACCUCAAUCUCGACAUAUCUUCAGUUGCCUUGUACUCCUCCUUCUAACAACCUCCCUUUCUAUUUUGGGAAGAUUCUCCACUGUGCACAGUGUUGGGGGGAGGAAAUUCCCAACCUCCUACUCCUGUAGCUGAAAGAGGUUGGUCAUCUGUCUCCCCAAUACCUGAGCAACCAGUUCA
RNAcentral lists this long non-coding RNA (956 nucleotides) under Dasypus novemcinctus (nine-banded armadillo). Its description in RNAcentral is "lncRNA (ENSDNOG00000049961.1)". Lineage: Eukaryota; Metazoa; Chordata; Mammalia; Cingulata; Dasypodidae. The record is from RNAcentral.